GUUUAGUGUUUAGGGUUUAGAGUUGAUGUUUCGGGGUUUAGGGUUUAGAGUUGAUGUUUCAUUGUUUAGGGUUUAGAGUUGAUGAUUUAGGGUUUAAAGUUGAUGUUUUAGGUUUAGAUUUAGGGUUUAGGGUUUACGUUUAGGGUUUAGAGUUGAUGUUUUAGAGUUUAGAUUUGAAAGUUUAGGGUUUAGGGUUUAGGGUUUAGAGUUGAUGUUUUAAGUUUAGAUUAGUUAUUUUUUGUCAAAGUUAAUCAAAAUGUUAUAAAUGUCUUUUACCCUUCAUUAAAGAUGAGGAUAAAAGUGGUUAGUGUAAACAUGAAAAGUGGUACUUUGAAAAUGGUAUUUUUGGCAAUUUCCCAAUAAAAUACCCCUUAAUUUUUUAACUUAUUUACGAUAGCAUGUCACUGAAAUUAUUAAUUAACUUACCUUUUAUGAUUCUUUGUCUUUUCUUCUUUAUUUAAUGUAUUUCAUUUAUUUAUAAAAAAUAAAAAUAAACAUCCGCGCUGGCGCGCGGAUCAAGCUCUAGUUCAACAAUUAAAAGUUUUGUUUUUGUUCCUUUCGAUCUACAUAUUUUGUUGUCAUACUAUUAUGCUACACGAUUUUUGUGUGUGGUAAAAUGUUAAGAUUUAUCACGCGAUUAAUCGUAUACUAGUGGUGAAUGCAAAUAUCUUAGAGAAAAUCAUGAGUAUGAUCCACAAAAGAACUUUAAUUUGACGAUCAAAUCAACAUUGCUCCAGAUUUUUCAGCGUAUUAAACGAAAAAUAAUUUAAUAAAAACCAAAAAGUAAAAUGGUAAAAAAUGAUUAUUGAAUUUAUACUAUUAUUUGCAAAAUGAUUUUUUACUGAGUUUUCACUUUAAAAGUUAAAGUGGCUCGUGACUAAGUUUUUAGUGGUCUUAAUGAAUAAUUAGAUCUUGGUAAUAUAUAAUUACUUGGUACCUGUUCGGAACUACGCUAGGCGCUAGUCGGUUGGUGAUCCCGGGCCUAUCGAGUUACCGAAAAAUCGGGGAUUAAUCAGGGUAUACGCGGAGAUUAGUUUUUAUUAAUUUUUAAUUAUAAAUAUAUGUAUAUAUAUUAAUACAUGUGAAAAUUAGACAAUGGAACAACGUAGGCCAGUCGUACGAGAGUCAUUUGUUGCGGAUAGAGGUCCAGGGUACGAUUUUCUUGUUUUUAACUGCGCGAGACAGGAAAAAAAAAAUUUAGAAACCAACUGCAUUUGUCCCACAUCGACUAAUUUUACUCUAGGAGGCAUCUUGAGUCUUCCAUAAAUACAAGGAGAAAGUCUCCACUCUUUACUGGGCCUCUUCCAUGGCCCAAUUAUUUGUCACCAGAGUCCAAAGUUAAUUGAAUAAAUCGGUUUAUGUCCGAGUAGUCGGCGAUUAAUCGGUUUUUUAGACGAUUAAUUGGGUCUCCGAUCAGUUAAACCGAUUAGGGUAAAAUCGAGGCGGACCAAGUUGGUAUUAUGCCGUGGUAAGCUAAAGGGGGUAGGGUAUCUCUCUCGAAAAUAAUCUUCCCUCGACCACAAUCAAGGUGAGCUUGGUACCUUGACAGUCAAUCCAUCCCUAAAAUUACCUCGUACCUCUCUAAUGGGAGAACUAACAAAUGAGCCGGGAAAACCAUAUCUUGGAUAAUGAUUGGAACUCUUAGAAUGCAGCAUUCAGUUUCAACAUGACACAGCUGGCUACAAGUGAAACAAGUCGGGGUUCUAGGUCUAGGACCUCCAGAACGACCUCCCCGAAAAACUCUACCUCCUCGUCCUCGCGGCAUAGCAGAAUGUGGCUGAGGCUGACUUUGAACAGAUGGACGUCUAGGUGGUGUCGAAUGUCUAGAAGAAGCUCUAUCAGCAGCAAUGGCCUCCUCAACGUUCACAGCACGCUCAACAAGAUCAGCAAGCCAAUGAAACUCUACGGCCUCAAGUUUGCUCCUGAUAUAUGGGUUAAGUCCUCGAAGGAACUUACGGAUAAUCAUCAGCUCGUCCUCCCGACCAUAGUGGACAUACUUCAUGAGACGGGUGAACUCUGCCUCAUACUUCCUAACAGAGAAUCCGCCCUGAACUAGCGCCAUGAACUUAAUCUCCAAUCGAUCACGGGCCUCCGGUGGGAAGUACUUUCAAACGAACGCUGUACGGAAGUCAUCCCAACUCAGAUCGAAGUUUCAAAAGUUCCUCUCUACGCAUAACCACCAACUGAUGGUGUCCUUCUCUAGAUAGUAAACAGCCAUGUGCUUCUUGAAUUCUUCCGGACAACGAGUUGCAGCAAAGUUCUGCUCGAGAUUGUGCAGCCACGCAUCAGCUUCAAAGGGAUCAGUGCCUCCCUGGUAAUGCUUUGUCCCCAAGUUCUUCGUAAUCAUGACUAUCUUCAGGAAGUCCGAAUGAGAAGUGGUAGGUACUGGAGCUGGCUGAGCACACUAUGUAUCACGUUGUGCAUUCGGUGCUUGAUGUUUCAAAUUCACCAUCUCAGCCAUCAGUUCUAGAAGUGCUACUAUAGCUGGAUCUGUCGGCAGUGGUUCAGGUUGUGCUGCCGGAAUAGGUGCGGUAGGGGCUGGUGGAAUAUGAGCGGCAUGAGAUGCAGGAGCUGCGGGAUGAUCUCCGUGCACUGGACUAUCGUGUACCACAUCCACCUCGAUGUCCAAAAAGUACGUGUCUGGAGACAGUGGCAUGUGCACCGGUGUCUAAUUAUAUGACCCUUCAGACGGGUCAGUCUCAAAGCUAAAGCCCGAAGGUGUAGCCUCAAAGCUAGAGCCCGAAGGUGUAGCCUCAAAGCUAGGAGUCGGAAGUGGUGCCGGAGUAGAUAUCGGUAGAUAAGCUCUACCACGAUGUGCCUGUCUCGGUGGCAUCUGCUAUGAAAGAUCAUGGUAAGUUUCUACCCAGGUCUAUCUAUUUCUAAAAGAAGGAACAAACCAGCAUAUCCUAAUUAUCCUUGCGACACAUUUUUGACUCGAAUUUUUUUUUGAAACAAGUCCCAUUCUAGCAUCGUAUAACAAUGAUCUGAUACCACAUUUGUGACACCCCCGAUCGUAGAUAACCAGAAAUGUCACGGUCGAUGUUCCCUGAUGGUCGACCCGAGGUUCUCGAAAUAAAUCCGAUCGCCUUAGACCAACAACCAAAGAACACAGACGCUCCUAUCGGAUAUUACCCUAGGCUUUUCAACCCUAUAAACAAAUAUUUGAUAGUUAGUUCGUCUCGGACAAGGACUAAUAUCAUAUGAAAACUCGUGAUUUAUAAACAUCUUUUAUACAUUAUUUAUUUACUUUAAACAUCUUACAAAGUGUUAUAGUUUAAUCCUACGGUCUAUCGCCCAACAACGUUUUAAGUAAAUAUACAUCAAAAGGUACGUUGCAAGGACAACAAAAUACUACCGCUGGUUGGCCGUUUCUUCCGUCCAAAAGAGUAAAGUGUCUCCCGCCUAAGGGUUACCUGCACACACUAAUGAGUCAUGAGCAACUAGUUUACUCAGUGAAUCUAGAAUCACAACACAAUCAAUGAUAUAUCAACAAUUAUGGAAUGCAUAAACAUGAUCAUGCAAGUACUAGUACUAUACUUUAGUAUAUCAAUCAUCAUUGUGAAUUCUUAUUUUAAACAUCACUUCCACAACACCCGCCCAUUACCAUACUCAUAUAAUACAAUAUAUAUCCUAGACCUGAAAAACCACUAAGGCUAACUGAGACUAGUGAGUUAGCAUCACCAUCAUUGUCGAAUGUCCGGUAUAAACAAUUCGACACUGCAUCGUCAUGCAGUACACGGUCUCCAGGGAGCUACCCCAUCAUCGUGUCUUCAUGACCUUGUUCCGUUCGCAGGACCAAGUCAUGGUAAUGCGGGGACUUUAGGGAUAGUGAAUAUAACAAGACUUCACAUGAUUUUACUUCCAUAAUUAUUCCAAAAUUAAUCCAUAAUUAAUCAUAAUUAAUCUUUAAUUAAUCCCAUAUCAAUCAUUAAUUAAUCUCAUAUUAAUCUUUAAUUAAUCCAAGAUUAAUCUUUAAUUAAACCAAGAUUAAUCCUUAAUCAAAACAAUGAUUAUUUCAUUAGUACUUGAGAACAAGUAUUAUGAUUAGGAUUAACCUCACUUUAACAUUUUGAUUAAUCUUUAAGUGUAAGUGUUACACUAAGUAAACACCAUACACUUCUUAAAGGAUUCAAAGACUUUACUAUCUAAUUGAGAUACUACAGUUUAAACUCAAUCAUGUACUCAUUCAUGAUCUAUCUCAUCUUCUGCCUAGACUCUCCUAAAGAACAGUCUUGAAACUGGCUUGGACAAGACUUGAGUUCCUCUUGAACAAAGCUGAAUGGACCAAGAGACUGAAUGGACAGGACUGGAUACUUCAAGCUUUACUCUACCUCUGACCAAGACAAACCAAAGGACUAGAUGGCCUCAGCUGAUCCUCUUCUCCAAGGUAAGCUUGCGGCUGGACUUCUGAUCUUUCUCAGAGCAACACUGAGCUAGGGUGGAAGAUUAAAUCACCAGCAAUUUUUCUUGAUUUAUUUUCCUGAUUUUUUUUACUGAUUUUUCUGUUCUUGUUCUGCUUUCUCUCUUUCUCUCUGAAAUUCUUUAGGUUUUUCUGUAAGUUUCAGAGCGUGGGAAGCAUCUGGAGGAGAGGUUUAUAUAUUUCAGAUGGUCUUUGGAUGAGUGUCCAGCUGAGGGACCAAAGAAGGGUAAGAAGAGACAGCUAGCAAGCUGCUACCGCAUCUGCACUAUGCUGUCCUUUCCCUCCCAUGAAACAGUUUCCAGCCAAUUAUAAUAAUCAGGAAGAGGGAGCAAGCACACAUGCAGCUUAUGAUUGUCAUGUGCCAUGUACUGAAGAAGCUAGAUAAGCAAGUAGGUGCAAUUCAUGUGAUUAAAUACUGAGCAAGCAGGCUGGUGGAAGACAUGAGUCUGGUCCAAAAUUAAUUAGGCAGCUGGUCGAUCAUUUUAAAUAAUUUUUCAACCAAAUAUUCCUUGUCUUUGGCUCUCGUCUUCCUCUCGGAAAAUCUCAUCCAGCUUAAUAAAAAUUCGACCAAAAUAUUUAAGACUCGACCAAACUAUCAAGUGAAGGUUUUUCGACCACAAGGCAGUCCCGUCGAAAAAUUAAUCUACCGAUAGAUUUUUAUUUUUAUUAAUCCUGAUCGAACCAACUAAAAACUGGUCGAACGAGAUUUUUCUUAUUGGCUCGUGAGGGUUAUUACAAUGAUCAUCUUGACUUCUGUAUGGAUAUGGUGUGGCUGCGAGCGGACACGAGUGACGCCUAAUUCUUAAGCUGUGUAACUUUUCUAUUAUCAAUGCAUCAACUAUUUUCUUACAAAAUGAUGAAUUUAUAGAUUAGUAAGCAAUAGUAUAGCAUAUGUAUUGAUAUUGUGACGCUGCAAUGAUUUUUUAUCAUUCAACAAUUAAAAGUUUAGUUUUUAUUCCUUUCGAUUUACAUAUUUUGUUACAUGAUUUUUGUGUGUGGUAAAAUGUCAAGAUUUAUCACGCGAUUAAUAGUAUACUAAUGGUGAAUGUGUUAUAAAUCAAGUGAUGAAUGUCCAUAACCGGUCUGGUCCAUAACGGGCCCAAACCCUAGAAGAAAGAGACAUAGCUGAAACCCUAGAGAGAGGAGAGAGAGAUGGCCGCAUGCCUUAGGAGAGAGAGAGAGAGAGGCGGCUUAUGCUUUGGAGAAAAGAAAACUCUAUUUUCAUUUUCUUGUAAUUGUUAUCUUUCCAUUAUUAUUAUGUAUUAGUAGGUUUCCUAAUCAUAGUUGGUUUAGGUUUUUGGAUACUUUCUUUUUUCUAUGACUUGUAAUCCUUAUAUAAAGGAACUCAUGUUAUCUACUAAUAAUAGCAAUCCCAAUUAAUUCAAAAAGUUGUGAAUUCCACUUAUUUUGAAAGGUUGUGUCUUUUCAACAACUAAAAGUUGUGCCUUUUUAUUUAAAAAUAUCUAUUUAUAUUGAAAGAAUGUGACCAUUUAUAUUGAAAAGUUGUGACUCUUUAUAUAAGUAUUAUUACAAAAAGACACAACCUUUUAAUUCAAAAGAUGUGACUCUUCAAACAAAUUUUUGAAAAUCUAUAAAUAGUCCAAUGUAUAUGCCUUCUAAAGGCAUAAUUUUCACUAAUCAAGUAAAAUGGUGAAGAAAAAAAAAUUAAUAAUAGCAAACCCAAACAAUGUUGAAAAGUUGUAUGUUUUAUAAGAAUUUUAUUUCUUGUUAAAAGUUGUGUCUUUUCAUUAUAUAUUAAGAUAUGUCCUUUCAUUAUUUGUUUCAAGAGUUGUGUAUUAGUUAGUAUUUAAAUUAAAAAGAUGUAAUUAUUUAAAUGAAAAAUUGUGACUAUUCAUAUAUGUAUCAUUUCAAAAUAACUACCUUUUUUACAUGUAUAUAAAGUGAAAAUAUAUCAGGCCAUAUAUGUGAGCAUAGAUAUUCCCAUCUCAGAUUGAAUACGGGUCAUAAACUAGACAUACACCAUCUUAAGAGACUUUGAAUAAACCACCACAGACAUAUGUGCCGUCUAAGAUGGAACCUCAGAAGAGGAUUGGGAAUAUAUGUUGGAUAAGAGUAUGACUUUCUCCCAUGAAUCACAUCAUGUUUGCAUCCCUUAGUUUAUAACGUGUUCGUACCUCUUAGGUUAUGAAUCGUUCGUACUUUUUCGUUGACGACCCAACAGUCUAACGUAAACUAUACAUUUUUUAUUUAAAAAGAUUUUUAUGUUUAGUAAGAGAUUUUAUUUAUUUAUUAUAAAUUGAUAUAACUUAAAAUUUUAGAGUAACUUACCUAAAAUAAUAAAAAAUAUAUAAUUUUAUUAGUAUUGAUGUAUUUGUAUUUUAGUUGUAAUUUUAAAUUAUAGAAUAUACAUUUUUAAUAUUAUCUACAAGUAAAUAUAAACACAUAUGUUCUACGUUUUGACAUGAUAAUUUUUGAAAUUAAAAUUAUUUAUUUAUAUAAUAUAUAAAUUAUAAUAUGAUAUAUUUAUUUAUAAAAAUGAGUUCCCACGCGAUAUCGCGUGGGUUCCUUACCUAGUGAUUAAUAAUACAAAGAGAAACAUUCAGUUCUCAACCUUCUAAUUACAACACGUUAUCAGCACGAUUGUUCUCUGCAAUCUAAGCUAAAAUCGCCAAUCCCUUAAACCUAACCUAGCUGGCGACUUUAACCUAAUCCCGACGAACCCUAAUUCGUCCUAGCUCGCGUUCCAGCUCGUCAGCAACCGAUCAACUCCAUCCCUAAGGUGUUCCUGAUCCUAGACGACCUCAGCUUUCGUUCGCAUCACAGCCAGCUCGUGUUCCCGAUCAACCAGCUCGCAAUCCCGAUCAGCCGCUUGCAAACCCGAUAGGAAGCAGACGUGUCCCGUCCCGUUCAGAUCGCAUCCGACGGCAGCCAGCUCACGUCCGUCCGUGUGCAGGUCGAGGUUCAUCCGUUCUCUUUGGUGAUCCGGUUUCAUCCCUACAAACAAAGGUAUACCGAUUAAUCUAAGAACAUAAUGAUCAAACCCUAAAACCCUAAUCCAUUAUUAUGGAAAUCCAAUAUUCUUGAUAAACCCUAAAAAUUGGUAUAACCUAAAACUGAUCAUCUUAUAAUCACUAGAUUGAAAUUGAUUCCAUUAGAACAUGUUGAUUGAUUGUUCUGAUCUGAAUUAUGAAAACCCUAAAUCUGGGAAUCGAAAACCCUAAAACCCUAAAGCUUGAAAUCGAUUUUAAAUUGUUCUUGCUUGAUUGAAUGAUUGAUGAUUUGAGUUUUAAGAUUAAUAGAUUGAUUGAAUUUCGAAACUAAAAUCUUAAGGUCUUGAAACCUUGAUCUCAUAUUACUAAAAUCGAAUUCUAGUAUUGCUUGAAUCAAAACUCUAAUUUUCAUAAUAAGAAACCGAUUGAUUAGGGUUGUUUGCAUAAACAUAUAAAACUGAAUAUGAAUUGCAUUCGUCUUGUUUUAAAAUAUCGACCAGCAUGACAUAUAGAUCGUAUAAACUUGAAUAGUUUGCAUCAUAGAAUUGUAUGGCCGUGCGGCCUAAUAUAGAAUCUAUGAUUGAUCGCACCAUGGUCGUUUUAGAUUGUUUGAAAACAUGAUUGUAUAAGACUUGCUUGUGGCCGAGAUUAUUGAUUGUCUUGCGGCCACAUGAUCACAUUGUGAAACCCUAAACUUCGAAUGAUAAUGUGAUUCUGAUGUCGAAAAUCUCAAACCUAGACUAUGCUGCCCUUAAUCUCUCCGGAGACAACUAUCUGCAAUGGGCACUUGACACAAAGAUUAACUUGAGGUCAAAGGAGCUCGGUGAUGCUAUCAUCGAGGGCAACAAUGAGACUGAUAAGAAUCGGUACAGGGCUAUAAGUAUUAUACGCCACCAUCUCAUUGAGGGUCUAAAAGAUCAGUACCUCACCAUAGAGAAUCCACUAGACCUUUGGACAGCUUUACAGCGACGAUAUGAUCACCAGAAAACGGUGCUAUUACCAAAGGCUAAACAUGAGUGGACGAAUCUCAGAUUCAUGGACUAUAAGUAUGUGGAUGAAUACAAUUCAGUAUUGUUUAAGAUAGUCUCAAUGAUGAGACUUUGUGGUGAGGAAGUAACCGAGAAAGAGUUGCUUGAUAAAACAUUCUCCACGUUCCAUUCGACGAACGUGUUGCUGCAACAGCAGUAUAGAGAGAGAGGCUUCGUCUCAUACACUGAUCUGAUCUCGUGCCUACUCCUGGCCGAGGCUAAUAAUGAACUCCUGAUGAAGAACUGUGAGAUGAGACCCAUCGGAACAGCAGCAUUACCAGAAGCCAAUGAGGCUGAAAAGAAAGAUCCCAAAGAAUGCAACCACGUCCAUGAUGAUAAGAUAUCACACGGCAAAGGCGUAGUAGAUACAAAGGGCGUGGCUGUGACAACUACUCAUAUGGCCGGCAAGGAAACCACAAUAACCGUGGUCGUGGUUCCAGCUAUGGCCGUGGCCGAGGCAGUUAUGGCCAUGGUCGAGGCGGCAUAUCCAAAACGUCUAACUCGACCAAAUCAGCUUGUCACAGAUGCGAGAUGAGUAACCAUUGGGGCAAGAAUUGUAGAACCCCUGAACAUCUAUGUGAGCUCUAUCAAGAGAGCCUUAAGAACAAGAACCCGGAAGCCCAUAUGGUUCAUGAUACCGGGUAUGAUGCUGAUGAUGAUUCCGACCUUGAAAAGGACGACCUCUUGGAUUUUGAGACUUCUGAUUGUCUCAAAGACUAAAAUCGACAUCUUGUCUUAUUGUUUUAUGAAAUGCUUUGAGUUCAUUGCUAUUAUAUCUUGCCUGAUUUUGCUUGAUAAUGUGAAUGAUUUUAUUGAUAAAGAAAUUGCCUAAAGGGCAUUAUAGUACGGGUAUAGUAGCCUAGUAAGAAAUCUAUGGCCAAGGCAUUGCCUAAAGGGCAUUAUAUACACCCAAGAAUGUAUGACCCAUUGAGUUAUAAUAAAAUGGUUUCCAAAUAGAAACAAUGGGCAAAAGGAAACAAGUUCCUUCAGAUUUAAGGAAAGAAAACGCCUAAGACCUUAUAAGAAAGUGGUCAAGACUAUACCUACGUACUCUACUGAUCAAAACUAUGCUACAGAUCAGUAUGAUAAGAGGCAAGAGCCGUGGUGACCAUACUGAUAUAUCCCACGAAAUUAUAUAAAUUAUACACUUUAUGGCAAGACCGGAUUAGCCAUCCUAGUCUAAACUUGAUGCAAAGAUUGAUAUUGAGAAGGCACAAAGAGUUAUCCCAUAAGAUCUCAUGUUAUGAAACAUGUACACAAAGGGAAACUCAUUAGGCUUUAUUGUCCUACAUCACGAAAAUAUAGUAUGUUCAUGAAGGGGAGAGAUGAUAAACCCGUGAUAUAUGAUCAAUACUACAAAUUCGUGAACAAAUUCGUGAACGAUGGUCUAUGACCAUGAUAUAAACGGCUUGGCCGUGCAGUCCAUUACCUUAUAAGGAUCAGACAUCCAUCCUAAAGCUUAGGGACAUCAUGGUUUUACAUGUAUAUAAAGUGAAAAUAUAUCAGGCCAUAUAUGUGAGCAUAGAUAUUCCCAUCUCAGAUUGAAUACGGGUCAUAAACUAGACAUACACCAUCUUAAGAGACUUUGAAUAAACCACCACAGACAUAUGUGCCGUCUAAGAUGGAACCUCAGAAGAGGAUUGGGAAUAUAUGUUGGAUAAGAGUAUGACUUUCUCCCACUACUUCUAAGAGACCUUGAGCCAAAUAUGGGUGAUCAGAAAGUGGCCAGGUACACGGAUUGCAUGAUCAAUGAAUCCGACUAUCCAACAUUAAAAGGAGAAAGCUAUAAGCUGGUAAAGAGUAAAGAAUGAUAAGAAACAGAAUGGUAUCAACCAUCAUUGUCUUGGCAAAGAUCCUCGGAUUAGAAUUAUAGACGUCCAAAGAAAGAAAAGAUUAUACAUAGCUAGCUAAUCAAGAUGCCAGACACUGACCCGAAAAGAAAAGAAAAGAAUGACUAAGUCAUAACCAGCUUAGCACCAAACGAAAUCUGAUGUCCUAGAAAGAGACACAGUCAAGUUGCUACAGAGUCUAUACAAGAUAGACCAAAGUGUUCCAUAAGAUAAGGAACCUCGGAAAGAAAAAGAGAAAGGUGCAUAGAAUACAAAUCCGAGGUCAUAAGGAAACCAGACCAGACAUUGAGAAAAGGCUGCGCAGCUAAACAUCUAAGGUACCAAACCAUGUAGUUUGGGACGCCAAGCUACUAGGUAACAAAGGUCCUGGAUAAUGAAAUCUCAAAUCGAUUAGAUCAUGUCUGGAACACAAUGGAACCAUAUAUAAGUGUCGACACAUAAAGAUAUAUUUGUACAUAAGAGAGUAGCACUUGAACAUAAAGAUAUAAACGAGGAUCAAAACCCACGAAAGAGUACUCAUAAAGAUUAAAGAUUAAAUUGAAAAGAUAAACGUGGGGUUUAAAGUAUCUAUAAAGAAGAGAUAGGCGUAUUGGCCAUACAUACAUAUACAGAAACGCCAUCUGAUAUAAACCAGUGAAAUAGAUGGGUCUUGUAAGGGAAAAGAAACCGUGAGAUAUGGUACAUGAUCACGAGGUCUAAAGGUGUUCAUGUUUCCUACUAAAACCAUACGAUCAUAGCUUGUUACACAAGGAUACUCACAGAGACCAUGGAAAAAAUUAUAAGGAGAUAAACUCCUAUGUGGUGGAUGCUGCUACACAAUUUUGAAAUUGACAAAGGUCUGGUCAUAAGAAAGAAAUUAGAUUGACAUAUAAAGAUGUAGUAAGCAGCAUAUGGAUCACUGGAUAAAAUACAGCAUUGUUCCUAAGCUGUUCAUGGACUGAAACAAAGCAGCUGCAUAUAGUAUGUAAUACUAGUAAAGGAGUUCUAUAAGCUGCAUAUAGUAUGUAAUACUAGUAAAGGAGUUCUAUAAGAACGAUCAAAUUCAGUCCAUAUGUAAACUAAUAAAGAAAUUCGAAUUCCUUAUGUUUAUACUAAACCAACCUAAAGAGAGGUUAAAAGGUUUAUACAGAUCUGUGACACUAGCAUGGACCGACUAGAUUGUAGUACGGGCUAGUGGAAAAGAAAGAUCAGCCCAAAGAAAGGUAAUUCAGAUUGCCUCAGCUUGCUACCUCGGAUAGCAUGUUCUCCGGAUAGACCAAUCCAACAUCAGAUCCCUUAGAUAAGGAUCAGGCAUAGCAGAACAUUCUGCUGCUGCUGUGAGGCUGAGAGGAGACAUUUAAUCUAUCCUUCUCGAUCGGAUACCAAUAGGUUGCAGUCCAUAAGAAUGUGUGAUCGAAGUCCAUGACCUAAUGUAUAUUCAGUGUGUGAUAUGAUCCACGGCAGAGAGGUCAUGGGACGCCAUCAAGAUAUGGAUAAAGGACUGCAAUGACUGAUAUAUAUGGCAUUACCGAAUGCAAGAGGGAUUGAUAACUGAGGUCCACAAAUGUAUUUGGCCGCAGAGCCAUAGUUUGAUAAGACUGUAAAAUCCUUGCAACAAUGAUCUUGGACGCUCAUGGAACGAGUUGCGGACAUAUAUAGACAAUGUCUAUUAUUCAAAACAUGAAUUGAUCAGAAUAUAGUAUGGUCGAUGGUAGUCCGCACUUUAUCAUCAUAACCAAUCAUAAUAGCCAAGGUAUUCGAGAGCUUAUGUGGUUGAGAUCUAUGACUCAACAUGAUAAUAGAGAAAGAUCAAUGGACAAGAUAUUGGUACACAUCCGUGUAGAAGAUACACCGGAUCAUAGGUUUACAACCUGAGAUUAUUAAUUCAUGGAACCAUGCUCGGUAUAUUGUCCAUAUACACACGAUUUGCAAAGACUCAUGCACACAUGAGUUUGCAAAUAACCGACAGUGAUCUUCGAGUACAAUGCAAUCCGCAUUGCUCAGCACAUCUACUUUACUAAGACACACGAUGUCAAAGGACAUGAGAAAAGGCCGAAGAGGUCGAAGUGGUCCAAUUACGGUUCAGUAAUAACUUGACCGAUUUGUUUACUUCCCACCUGCACGUUCAGGAAGAUCACGCAUCAGAUACGUAGACUAAAGAACUUCCACUGACGUUCACAUCAGGGGGAGUACUACGUGUUGUACUCUUUUUCCUUCAUCAUGGUUGUGUCCCACUAGGUUUUUCCUGAUAAGGUUUUAAUGAGGCAACGUGAAGCGUAUUACAAUCCUGUAUGGUUAUGGCAUCCAAGGGGGAGUGUUAUAAAUCAAGUGAUGAAUGUCCAUAACCGGCAUGGUCCAUAACCGGCCCAACCCCUAGAAGAAAGAGACAUAGCCAAAACCCUAGAGAGAGGAGAGAGAUGCGGCCGCAUGCCUUAGGAGAGAGAGAGAGAGGCGGCUUAUGCUUUGGAGAAAAUGAAACUCUAUUUCAUUUUCCUUGUAAUUGUUAUCUUUUCAUUAUUAUGUAGUAGUAGUUUUCCUAAUCCUAGUUGGUUUAGGUUUUUGGAAACUUUCCUUUUUCUAUGACUUGUAAUCCUUAUAUAAAAGAACCCAUGUUAGGAUUAAUAACCAUCUAAUUACAACAGAAUGCUAAUAUUUUAGAGAAAAUCAUGAGUAUGAUCCACAAAAGAACUUUAAUUUGACGACAAAAUCAGCAUUGAUCCAGUAUAGGCUCCAGAUUUUCAGCGUAGUAAACGAAAAUAACUUAAUAAAAAACAAAAAUAAAAAGGUAAAAAAAAAUUGAAUCUAUACUUAUAUUUGUAAAAUAAUUAGAUUUUCGUAAUAUAUAAUCUAUAUUAUUAUUUGAGAAGUGAAUUUGCUGAUUUGUCAUCUUCUUCAAGAUUUUAGUUAAUUUGUUUACUUGUCAUCUUUUCCAUAAUUCUAGGAUACGUCAUUUGUUUAAUUAAUAUAAUUAUUUAAAUUUUUAUUUUGAUAUCUAUAUAUGUAUCAUGAUAUUUAAUAUAAUUAAUAAACAUUAAACUAUUCAAACGAUAUGUAUACAAUUAUUUUUAAAAAAUUAAUAUUUAAUAUAUAAUUAUUAUGAUAUUUAAAAAAUUUAAUUAAUAAAUAGAUAUUAACAAUAUCUAGCGAUAAUCUCAUCAUUACUUUUAUCUUAUAUUAAUUUUAUAAUUUUAAUGACUAAUAAAAAAUAAACGCUUUUAAGUUCUUUUUACAGUGUAGUAGUAGUUACAUAGGAACCACCACCACUCGACAUCGGAACCAUUCGCCGGGAACUUCAAUGGCGCAACUCAUACGUCCGGUAAGGCAAUUGUCGCCGCAGUGUCAUCACUGUCUUCGUAAUCUCCGCCACUUGUUCUCCAAGAAGCUGCCGCUAAUCAUAUUCACUUUCUUAAAAUAACAUUCAUUUGGUUUAUUCAGUAGUACCAAAUCCAAACUAUUUUCUCUAUUUCGGUUUGGUUUGGUUUUAAAUAGUUCGAUUUUAUCAGAUUGAACACUUCUAAACUAUCUUUAUUUUGUUAAUGUUUUAUACUUUUGAUUUUUAUCUUCCUUUCAGUAACACAUGAUUUCUUUUCAGUCAAAAUACAAUAUAUGUUAAUUUCAAUACAAAUUUCGUAAUUUAAUUAUUAAUAUAGAAAAAAAAUUGAUCUGAAAUCUACAUCUUAUAAAUCAAAAUAUGAAACAAAAUAGCAUAAUUUAGUACAUUGAUUACCAAUAUAAAUAGUAAAAUUUUAUAGUUUACAAUAAUUUAAAAUUUUUAUCUAAUUGAAUUGUUAUUAUUUUAUAAAAAUAAAAGUUAGAAUUAAAAAUUGUUAAAUAUAUUAAUCCGCACAAGGUGAGGGACAUCAACUAGUUAACCAUAAAUUAACAAAAUUCAUUGAUCUGACAUCAAAAGAAAUAGCUUGUUUUAUGUAUAGAUGAGUUUUCAAUUUACUGUACACAAUAAAAGAUAAUUUUGUUAUACUAAAAGACUUUUUUAUAUGUAAAAGUUUUAUAAUUUAAUUUAUUACUAAAUAUUUUAAACGCAUGAGUGCUUUUAAGUUUAUACUUACAUAAUAGAAUGUAUUUAUGUUAUGAUGAAUUUUUUUUGCAUAUAUAAAGGAUUUUUGUUUAAUUAAAUAUUUUGAACAUUUGUAUGAUAACUUAAUCUAGUCGUAUUUGAAUUGACAAUAUAUUUGAUUAUGCCCACGGCUGAGAAAAAACACCUUAAUCUUUGUUAGUUUGGUUGCCGCAGGUACCGGCGGCAGCGGCAGCGUCAACAUUCUGCGUCAACUCUUGUUCGUUUCGUUGACGCAGGAAACUGCGUCUGACGCCGCGUCCGAACGCCGCGUCCUGCGGCUGACGCCGAUAAAAUCUGCGGUCGCGAUAUAGUAUGCGGCAGCGGCAGCGUCAGCGUCAGCGAAACGAACAAUAACUGUCCUCAUUGACGCUACCACUGCCGCUGAUGCUGCCGCUGCCGCUGACGCCGACGCCGAAACCUGCGGCAACCAAACAAAAGUAAAAAAUAAACGCUUUUAAGUUCUUUUUACAGUGUAGUAGUAGUUACAUAGGAACCACCACCACUCGACAUCGGAACCAUUCGCCGGGAACUUCAAUGGCGCAACUCAUACGUCCGGUAAGGCAAUUGUCGCCGCAGUGUCAUCACUGUCUUCGUAAUCUCCGCCACUUGUUCUCCAAGAAGCUGCCGCUAAACCCACCUUCUUCUACGCCCACUCUCCUUCUCCUCUCCCCUUCUUUCUCCACCGCAAGAUCUCCACCUCGUCGGCGACUUCGCCGUCCCGCGCCACCAGAAGCUCUCGCUCCUCCAAACCUCAUUGCUGAAGAAGAUGGCGGUAGCGAUGAAUCAGAGUCUGAGUCGUCGAGAAGCAGGAACCAGCGGAAGCGUGACGCUCGCCGCGCCGUCCGGUGGGGUAUGGAGCUAGCUUCCUUCUCUAGUGAUCAGAUUAAGAGGGUUAUGAGGUAAUCAAUCAAUCAUCUCCUAUAAAAAUCUCAACUUUAUUGAAAAUGAAUUGACUUUACAUCUGGUAGAGCGGCGUCGCUUGGUGAAGAGGUUUACGAUGCGUUGAUGCUUGCCAAGGUAAAUCAAGAUGAGUGCUUUAAGUUAGGUGAUCGUGUUUAUGGGACUAAUGCACGUAAGGUGUUUGUUGUAAUGUCGCAGAGACUAGGCGCGGAUGUUAGAGAAGGGAAGCGUAGACAUUUUAACUAUAUCGGUGAGAUAAAGAGAGAAAGUUACAUUAUUUACUCUAUAGCGUUCACUAAGAGUUUAGCUGAUGUUGGUGUUUGUUUCUUAGGGAAGUUGUUGCGUGAAGUUGAACCUGAUUUGAUGGACACUCUGAUUAAUGCCACUAAUCAGGGUGAUCUCACUAGGAUUCAGGUGCUGAUUGCUUCGGCAAAGGAUGGCGCAGAUGACGCUGGAGUGAGUGAUUUUAUUGAUUCAGAAACAGAGUCGGAAGAUGAAGGAGAGGUAAGUGUAACCCUCAAUAUAUGCAUCAACUUCAGUUUUUAAAGGUAGUUACAGUAAGUGAAUGGAGACAUGAUGAUGAUAUAGCGAAGGGUAGAAUAUUUUGGUAGUCCAUUGCAGAAUAUAGCGGUUAAGAGUAGCUUCCAUUAAAGAAGAGGAUGGUAUAUUGGUAUCAUUGUCUAAAUGGAUGAAGAGAACUGUGUUUGUUGUCUACAUAGAAACGUUCUCAGUAGUUUUGCUCUCCAAACUCCUAUAAUUUUUAAGAUAAUGUUUUUCAGAGCUCAGAAGAAUAUGUGGCUAUAGCUGCGAGAUGGUUUGAUGGCCUUAUCAGUCAAAAUGUGGAGCUCACAAAAGAAGUUUAUUCUCUUCAGAGUGUUGAUUUCGAUCGACAGGUUAGUCAAAAUAUGAAUUCAAUAAAGAAAGCAGAUGUGUAUGACUUGUUUACUAAAGUGUAUAGUUCCUUAUCAUAUAUGCUUUCUGUCGUUGAUUGUUGAUAGGAAUUGCGUAAACUUGUUCGGAAAGUACAGUUGGUUCAUGAGCAGAGAAAAGACGUAACCCCGGAGAAGCAGAAAGAAGUCGAUGCUGCAUUGGUGACGGCUGAGAAGUCUCUGAAUCGAUUUCUUCAUUCCAUGGCGAAACAAAUGCAGAGUGAGGAGAGCAGUCUGUACUUAUGAUUUAAAAGAAUAUAUUUUUUGAUUCUCAAUAAUAUAAUACCCAUUAAACCGAACUCAAACCGAGUUACCAAAUUUUUGGUUCUGUUUGCUAAAUCCGGUUAAACUGCCAAGGCUUACUUACUUUAGCUUAUCAGUUAUCAUGAUCGUCUUUUCUCCUUUUUGUACUUUUUUUUCUUCUUUCUACAGCACACGUUUUUGCGUUUCUUGUCAUCUAUCCAUCAAUGUUAUCCUAAUAGGACACAUCAUUUGUCAUCAAAACCAAAAUUAAGAUAAUACUAUAAUCCUUUAUUAUCUGAUAUGUUCUUCCACUAAGUUGUAUUUUAUGAAUAAUUUGUGACGACAUUUAUAGAUAUACUGCAACUGCUUGAAAAUACUGAAAAUUAGCUAUACUGCAACAACAAACUCUUGACAUAACAACACUAGUAAAAUGACAUUGUACAUGGUCAAUGUUUUGUAGUGAACUUGAAAAAUGAUCAACAAUGUGGUUAAAUAUUCAUUAAUGUGCACAAUCAUGAAACAUAUAAAUGUAAUCGGAUGCAAAAUUUACAUCCAGAACCGGAAAUGAUGAAAAACAAAUAUCAAAAUUGCCGAAAAAGAAGAAAAAUACAACUAAAAAUGAGUAAAUAUUGAGAAGAUAUAUGAAUUUUUGAGGAGUCAGAAGUGAAAACAUCAGAUAACCAAGUAGAUAAUGGUGACGGUGAGCUUUCUGCCAAUCCACCGCCCUCUCUCCACCCAUUAGCUGCAGACUUUUGGCUGUAUACACAUUCCAAACUUUAAUGAGUAUAAUACUAUUUGAAUAUAAAUAACUAAUAUAAGCAUACGCGUUCGGUAAUGGUAGGCCUAUUGUAUGUUCUAAUAACCUUUUUUUCAUUUUUCCUUUCUUUGAUGGAAUGACUAUUAUAUACUCCUUUAUUGCGUGUAAAAAAAAAAAGAAAGAAUCAACUUCUUUUUCAUAAAUGGCUCAAGCCAAUCACAUUACUCUGCUAGCUAAGCUCGUCGUGUGCAUGAUAAAAAAGCAAGUAGACAAAAAAAUAAUAAAAAAAUAAUAAAGACGUUAAACCUACCUAGGCAAGGAAGGGCAAAGAGUGAUGGUAUAAUCAGCAGAAGUGCAUGUGAACGUACUCGUAGCGUCGUCGAACGCGUAGCUAUACGAUCUAGGACAAGCUGACUUGAAUAUCUCCGAGUACAUGGACGGUUUACACUCUGUAGGUGAAGCGUACGCGCCACUACAACAAUACUCUGGACUACCAAACGCCUCGCACGCGCUUUUGCAUGCUGACCCGGAUCCGAACCGGAGCUCCGGUGGACAUCUUUGGUUUAGAUCGGCCACGCAUCCUGUGGUUAAGCAGUUGCCUUCUGUCCCUCCGCUUGGUUCAACUACCAUGGGGACGUUGUAUCCGUCCACGAGGCUUACGUCGUAGAAGUCUUGUUUUCGGGUAGGAUCUUCUGGACCUGACCCGAUCGUGAAUUCGGCUAGCGUAGCCGGCGGUUUGGCUCCUGAGCCGUUGCAUUCGACUUGGUUAGAGCCGCAGUCGCCGGUUAAGCAGGUGAAUUGACCUGUUUGAGAGUCGAAGUUGCAGCCGGUUCUUGCCCAAAACCGACCCGACCAGCUUGCUGGAGCUUGGAAGGAACGUGAGCCACCGGAAGCUAGCUCGAAGCCGGUUGUUCCUAAGCCGCUGCUUCCGGAGUUGGCUAAAAUUCCCGGCCAGACAGUGAAGCUGCAUCGGUUUACUAUAGUUACUGUAGCACCAUUACUUCCUACGCAAGUCAAAAUGUAUAUGAGAAGAUAUGAAUAUGAAUAUUGCGAAUCUUGAUACAGAUAUGAAUAUUACCGUAGAAGAAGAGGAAGCUAAACAUGUAGAUGAAACAGAAUGAGACAGGAGAAUGAAGAAGUGUUAUGAUCAUCACUGUUUUUAUUUUUGUUUCCUUCUUUUGAAAAGAAAAGUAUUUUCGGUGGAGAAGUCAAGUUUGGAAUAUUGGAGAUAACAAAACCAAAGAGGAAGAGAAAAAAUUUAUGAGAUAUAGAGUUUAAAGGGAGCAUUUAAGGUGACAUCAACAACUCUAUAUAUACCUUCUCUCAAGGGUCAAGAUCCAUGUGAUCUCACAAAUAAAAAAGUAUGACCAAAUUGCUUUAUGUUUAAAGUGAUGCCAGAGAUAACAAUACGUUGAAAAAGAUAUUUUAUCACGAAUUGAUUAAGGUCUUUUUCUUUGCAAAUAAAAUAUCUACCUUUACAGAAUAUAUAUGUUUUAAAUUUACAAAACCCAUAGCUUUUCAAAACUUAUUUUUGUAGAAUACAAGUAAAAAUACUCAAGUAGAUAUGCAUAAUAGGUGUCUAACACUACAGAAAGCUACAAGGAUAACUUCGGAUAGAUAGAUUGACCAACAAAAAGUUUCGUGUCUGAACCGUCGCGGGUUCACAUUGUUGUUUAAUUUUAUCGAGGAACAGUGAUAUGAUAGAUGCACUUAUUUAGCAAGAUCUAGAAUCCAAGUUGUGAUGCUAUUACAUAAUCCAUCAAAAACCAUAUAGUAAGAACUAAUCUUGGAAAGAAAUACGAGUAAAACACGAUGUUCUGUUUUUAACUAAGAGUAGAGAAAACAUAGAGAAGAAAAACAUCAGAAGUGAAAUCUAUAGUUCGUCCUUGGUUGGUGUCUCUUCCUCAACUGGUUCGGCUUCAAUGUUUAGACCACCAUGCAAGUCAUCUGAUUUUGUCUCAGUGGCUUCCUCACUCGUCUCUGUUUCCUCUGCCUCGACUUCCUCUUCGGCUACGGCAUCAGGACUGAUCUUCAGGCUGCUCUUGACGGAGUUGUAAAUACGGCCUGCAAAGUCUUUUGGGUCGUUGAGUAUGAAUCCACUCUCGAUCAAAGCUGUCUGGUACAUGAGCUGUGCUGUUUCUUUCACACUCUCAUCCUGCAAGAGUUUUGUGUGUCAGGAAGGUAAACAAAAAACAAAGAGCUAACGGGUCCUUAUGUCUUUACCUCUGGGUCGCUAGCAACUCUUUCCUUGAGUUCUUUGAUGAUAGGGUGUCGAGGGUUGAUCUCAAGGACUCGCUUUCCUCGCAUGUAAGCUUGCUUGUUUGCAUCGGAGAGAGUUUGGGACUGCAUGAUCCUCUCCAUGUUUGCACUCCAUCCAAACUUGGACGUUACAACUACACAGGGAGUGUCAGCCAAUCGGUUACUGAUUUUAACGUCGUCCACGUUCUCACUAGCGAGACUCUCCUUCCACCACUUGGUUAGCUCCUUGAAUGCUUCUUUCAGCUCCUUCACUUUCGAAUCUUUCCCAACCUUCAGUCCUUCUUUUGACACAUUCUGGAACUUCUUGUCCUCGUAAUCCAUCAGGUAUUGCAUCAAGUACUCAUCAACGGGGUCUGUGAAGAAGAUUACCUGCGAACACAAGUAUUGGAAUGUGAGAUGCAAGUUAGCAAUCGUACAAGAAAAACUAUCAGUGUUCGAUACAAACCUCAUAGCCCUUUUUGAUGAGCCUCUCCAGGAAUGGAGAUUUCUCCAGUUGCUCCUUGCUGCUUCCAGUAAUGUAAAAUACGUCCUUUUGCCCCUUUUUCAUUCUCUUGAUGUACUGAUCAAGGGAAGUCAAUUUUCCAUCGGACUUAGUUCUGUAAUGAGAAAUUCUAAAUCUUUAGCCAACUGGUGCUAUUAAGCUGACAGGUAUAUGUAUAAAAAGGUUAACGGAAGCACUUACGUCUCAAAACGAAGUAGUUUUGCCAGGCGGUUCCUGUUAGAAGCAUCCUCAAUAAUGCCAAGUUUAAUCGACUUGCCAAACUCGUUCCAGAACUUGGUGUACUGACCCUUCUUCUCGUCAUUCUCACCAGACUUCUCCACAUCUGUGAGCCAAAAAUAAAUACGUUUGGAACAAAUUUCAGAAAGAUGAAGGUACCAUGGUAAAAAAUGGAACAUGCAAGUGGUUUGAUGAUACCAAGAAGCUUGUUAUAUGGAAUACCUUUUUUGUCAUCGUCAUGGACCUCAUCAGGGUCUUCUUCAGCAAGCUUGCGGAUCAUAUCAAGAGCCUUUCGGAUGAGCUUCUUCUUAAUUGUCUUUAAGCUGCUGUGUUGUUGAAGCAUUUCUCGUGAUACAUUUAGAGGCAACGUGUCAGAGUCAACAAGACCCUGCAGAAGUAACACACAUUAGCAAUUCAGCCAUUGAAUUUGUACUGAAGGUAACAAUUAGUUUGUCUUCCUGUAAGUUACCUUCAAGAAACUCAAAUAUUUAGGCAGAAGCUCAUCAAAUUCAUCCGAGAUGAAGACCCUCCUGACGUAGAGCUUCAAGUUCGCCUUGUUGGUGUUGUAGUAGCUCUCGUACUGAUCAUGGGCAGCUUUCGGAGGAACAUACAACACAGCCUUGAAUUCAACAUCACCUUCAGCAUUGAAGUGACUCCAAGCCAUUGGCUUCUCGUCAGAGAAAUCCUGUACAACAACUGGGGUCAGAGAAAUCCAGAUGUGCAACAAGUAUUAUUUGUUCACGCAUGAUAUUCACCUUUGAGAGAGAGUGGUAGAAUUUAGUGUACUCUUCCUCUGUCACCUCCUUGGGACUUCUCAGCCAUAUAGCCUUAACAUCAUUCAGAAGCUCCCAUUCAUAAACCGUUUCUUUCACCUUCUUGGUUUUCUGCUUCUUCUCACUGUCUUCAUCCUCAGCAUCUUCUUCCUUCUCUUCCUCGGUAGAGGUGGUUUCUGCAGCGAAGUACCGUUAAUAAAACACACGUGCGUCUGACUUGUAGGAACGAAAAAAAAAACACUACAGCAGAAAAUUAUAAUUGCGAUGUUUAUAAUAACUCACCAGUUUCCUCUUCAGUUGAUUCAUCUUCCUCAGCUGGGACCUCAGUUUCAACCUCUUUGCUAGCCCAGAGGUUGAUAGGGAAGUUAAUGAAUUCAGAAUAUCUCUUCACCAAAUCCUGCAGUAGACAAUAGACAGAUAUAAUCAAUGCACCGUAUUCAUUAUUCUGUUGAACCACUCUUUAAGAAACGAAAGAAAAUUUACAUCUUUAUGAAAAUAUUACUCACCUUAAGUUUACUCUCCUCAAGGUACUCGCCAGCUUCAUCUCUAAGAUGUAGUCUAAUCUCAGUUCCACGUCCAAGAGGCUCAUUCCAUGUAUCCUCGGAAACAGCAAAUUUACCAUCAGCCUUUGAUUCCCAUACAUGUCUGAAAAUGGAAAAGAAGUUAUCAGAAAAGCUUCCCAAAUGAAUUAUACAUGCAUACAAGUACAUCUCCAAACAAAACACAAUCCGAAGUCAACUUACUGGAUAUCAUCGUUGUGCUUGCUAAUGACUUCAAUGUAGUCAGCAACAAGAUAGGCAGAGUAGAAUCCAACACCAAAUUGUCCAAUAAGGUUAAGAUCCCCACUUGAUUGCAUUUUCUCAACAAAAGCUGUGAAAUAGAAGAUCUUGAAUACAUAAGAAUUUUCUUAAUCCAAUCUAUUAAACUAUAUCAUCACCGCAGGCAAACGUACCUGACGUUCCGGAUUUUGCAAUGGUACCAAGGUUCUUGAUCAAGUCCUCCUUAGUCAUUCCAAUACCACGGUCCCGAAUAGAAAGAAUCUUCUUAGCUUUAUCUAACUUAAUCUGCACAUCAUCAUCAAAAAAACUUCAGAUCUCUCAAGCUCAAUGAACAAAUCACACACCAUCUACCAAAAAAGAUGUAGCUAACCUGGAUCUCAAGCUUAGCAUUGUCACCUUCGCCCAAAACGUCUUUGUCAGUGAGUGCAAGGAACCUAAUCUUAUCCAAAGCCUGCAAAAAAGUUACAAACAUUAGCUCCCCUGUUCAACAAGUAACAACCAUGGAGAUAAUAAACACAAAAGGCUUACAUCAGAAGCAUUGGAGAUCAACUCUCUAAGGAAAAUAUCCUUGUUGCUGUAUAGAGAGUUGAUGAUAAUGUCCAUCAGCCGAGAGACCUCAGCCUGGAACUCAAACUUCUCCGCGUUACUGCGGAGUGACUUCUUCGAGAUCGACUCAGACUCUCUGCCAAUAAACGAAAUCAGCCGACAGAUUUACGCGAUUGAAAUCGAAAGGUGUAGCUUGGUGAGAGACUAACCUAUGAACGACAUCUGAAUCAGUCGAUAAACCGCCGUGACCACCGAGUUUCUCCUCCACCUUCGGUGGAUCUGAAACCUCAUCGGAGCUAUCUUCUGCAUUCGCGUGCAGCUUUCUUCCUGUGAUACACAUACACCGUCGUUAGCAUAGAGAUCGAAAGUGAACAGCUACGUAAUCAAAAUCAAAGUGUUGGAUUGGAUCGAUACCUUGAUCUGGGAGAAGGAAGAGGAGGGAGAACAGGAACAAGACGGACACGAGCGUCCUCUUCCUCAUUGUUGAGAUCGUAUAGCUUUCUCGAUAUCUCUCGAGACUCACUCGCUAGGUAUGUUAUCUUUGAGGUUUACUCACUCACUCACUGAUGAUUCGAGCUCGAAAGGAGAAGAGAUCCGUAAAAUAGGAGAUUGAUUCUGUGUCAUUGCGUACACUUCGGUUCAUGAGCUACGUCUUGAUUUGCUUACGUGGCAGAUCUAACGGCUCGGUGUUGCUGAGAUAUCCACGUGGGCGUUUUGUAUUGGAGGAAGGUUUUGUACUUGACGUGGAUCGACGUGUUGUAGUGUGGAUCAGUGGAUGGACGACUUGAAUAAUAUAAGUCGACGGUGAUACCGUGGACGUUCUUGUUGGACGAUCGGACGGCUAUAAUUACUUGAAUUACACGUGGCGUGGGAUUAUUGGAUGUUAGCAUUUUUAUUGACGUCAGACUUCCAAAGCUAGAAGUUGAUUUUCUAGAUGAUUCUUCUAUACUUCACUCACGCUUAUUAUGUUUGGCUGCUUGGAUAUCACUGUUUUGAUCAGUGACAUUACGAGUGCGUGAAAAGCAAGAAGACAUGAACUUGUUCUAUACGAUAGCUCAAACUAUGUUUCUAGGAACCACCAUUCCUUUUGUCUGAGUCUUGUAUGAAACAGCUAUUCAUUUUGUUCUAUAAACAGUUAUUCAGAAAUGAGAGAAUAAUAAACACAAAAUGUAAGGAAGACAAUGGCAACACUUUCUUGAUUUUAAAAAGACCUAGAUUUUUAUUUUAUGGAGAAAACCCCACCAAGGUUAAAAAGAUUAUACCAAUGUUUGAAUUAAUCCUCAUGUAUGUUAUGAAAUGAAACCUGACAAAGAGAGUUCAGCGACACAAAUUAUAGGUUACCCCAGUCCUCUCGUACUAGGGUUGGCUCCUCGCAGUUCAGCCCUCACCACCUUUGCCAUCCUUUGAUCAAUCAAUCAAUCCGUCCACCUAUUGAAGAACCCAGUCUCCACUAUAUGUGAAUCACUCAUCUCCAUGGAGGAGGGAAUAAUUCCCAACGUGUCUCCAGCUCCAUUCGAUUUCCACCAAUGCUAAUAGAUGAAGGUCAUGUUCGUUUCUACAUCUGGAAGAUGCAUCAAGAUGCUCCAUCUAGAUGUCUUAUCCAGAUGCUUCGUCUGGGUGUUGUUCGUUUCUUCAUUUCGUCCAUGCAUCCAAAUAAAUCAUCUGAAUGCAGCUAUGUUCGUUUGCUUUUCAUUUUUUAACUUGCAUCUGCAUCCAUGUGGACUUGUUAAUAAAAUGACUAAAAUAUAUUUUUUUAUGUUUAGGCGGGAAAAUGCGUUUUCCAGUUUCGGCGGGAAAAUGCGUUUUUCCGGUUUCGGCGGGAAAAUGCGUUUUUCCGGUUUUAGUGGGAAAAUAUUUUUUUCCUGUUUUUGCGUGAAAAUGCGUUUUCCAGUUUUGGCGGAAAAAUGCGUUUUUCCGAUUUUGGCGAGAAAAUGUUUUUUGCGGUUUUGGCCAGAAAAUGUUUUUUUGGGGUUUUGGCGGAAAUAUAUGUUUUUGGGUUUUGGCGGAAAAACAAAAUGGGUUUUUCGGUUUUGGCGGAAAAAUGCGUUUUCCGGUUUUGACCGAAAAGUGUGUUUUUACUGGUUUGGUCGAAAAGUAUGUUUUUAUGGAAAUGUACGUUUUACGUUUUUUUAGGGAAAACGCAUUUUGCGGUUUUGGCGGAAAAGUGUGUUUUUCAGUUUUUGCGAGAAAAUAUAUUUUUCGGUUCUGGCGAAAAAAUGUAUUUGCAAAAAAAAAAUAGAAUUUACGGUUUUAAAAUAAUAUUUUGAUUUUAAAAGGUAAUUUUUGUCAUUUCUCAUUUUGGACUGAAAUAGAUGUAUCUGAAUCCAUAUGCACCAUCAAGACUCACAUUCAUUUGGGUGAGAAUUUGAAAAGAGUUUUAAAAAUUCAGCUGGAUGAUUCAUCUGGAUGUAGCAUUAUAAUGCACAAAACGAACAUCGAUUUGCAUCUUCACCCAGAUGAUCCAUCUGGGUGAGCAAACGAACAUCACCGAACUCGAUGAAGGCUGCUAUACAUUCGCUCUUGAAUGCUCUCCCAUAGCUCUGCUUUGUUCCGGUGGAACUUCUUUUUAGAAAUUGUCGUUAUAUUCCCAUUUUUUCAAAGUUGUUGCUUGGAGAGGUACAAAACCAAAUGGAAAAAGGUACAAACCAAUUGUGACGAGCAAGUAUAUGUGUGUUGGAAUUUUUGUGAAUUUGUUUUGGAUUUAACUACUGUUGUAACAGAUGUGGAAACAGAUGAACAAAAACGAUGUAACUGAUAUUUAAUGUGGUUCACCAAUUUGGCUACAUUCAUGGGUAUAGAGAGAUUUUAUUACUCGAAACGAUAUUUUUGAGCUUAUAGAGUGUAAUUUUAAGGUUAUUUCGAAUACAAAAUCAUAUCUUACAAUAGUAAAAGGAAAAUAUGCUCAACAGAGAUGGUCCACGUCAUUUAAAAAAAUUUACCAAUCAGAAACAAGUUUACUGCCACGUCAUAUCAGUUUCACCGUGUGGACUUAAUUUAUUUUGCCUUAGCCCAAAUCGAUCAAUUUCAUUCUCAGUGUGGGUUACCCUGUGUGGGCUUUAACUAAUUUGUCCACUUCAGACAAUAAUUAUGUACUAGGUGGUAAUCCGCGCCUUGCGCGGGGUGAUGGAUUAAAAGAGAUUAUAACUUUAAAACUAUAUAGACUAAUUUAUUGGGGUAUUUUAAUUAUAUUUUAUGGAAAUACAUCUAAAAGAGUAAGUAAAGACUUAUAUAAAUUUAUUAUGAAUUUAAGAUGAAACAAAAAAAAAGCAAGAGCAUUAUUGUUUUCAUAAUAUAAAUUAUGAAUAUAAAAUAAAAUGAAACACAUGCAACAGAAUAAUAAAAUAUGAAAGAAACAAAUUUAUAAAGAAACAAAUAAAAAAUUGAUAAAACCACAACUACUGUUAGAAGUGUCUUCAGAACUCGUGGUUUGCAAUUCUAUAGAAAGCCAUAACAAAGUAUCAACUUACCAAACUAAACACAUAUAUUUACCAAAUUCAGUAAACGAAAUGUUAUACCUCUUUCUGAAAACAUCGAUUUCUGGAACAUCGUUAGGUUCAAAAAUAAUUUUUGAAACCCAUCAUUGUUAAUCACAUUCUUUAAUCGACGUUAUCAUGAUAAAAAAACAAUGUAAGCAAAAUCAAAGACAAAAUUCAUGAAUUUUUUUUGUAUGUAGAAAAAUAGUAGGUUUUGAUGUAGAUGAAUUUCAGUCUAAUGUUAUAUACAGGGAUCACUUAUAAGGUUUUGCUUAUGAAAGAUUAGAGAGAAAAAAGUAUUAUCUCACCUAAAUCAAAUCGAAUUAAUUCCUUACUUUUAGCUGCCAAUUUUAAAAUUAUGGAAAGUAAUAUAAUUAAGAAAUCAACAUAUAGGAAACAAAAUUAACUUUGUAAAUUAACUUGAUCGAAUAUAACCAGAUUGACGUGUUGUGAUGGGUUGAGUCCUUAAUUUCAGAAUCUUGGUGCUUAAUCUAAGGAAUUGAAUAGAAUUUGUAUAGGACUUUAAAUUAAUAAAUAAUUGUAGCACAAAUUGUUCUAAUUUCCAUACGAAUACUGGUCUGAGUCAAAACUUUCCUAUAAUAAUUUUUCGAAUGCUAAUUUGUGAAUAUAUAAUGGAAAGUAAAUAAAUUUAAUAAUAUUUGCCCAAUAUAUAUGGCAUUCAAUGUCGAUCUUCCGCGUUCUAGUGUGAAUCAAGAAAUAAUUUUUCGAAUGCCCAAUAUAUAUGGCAAUUAAUUUAUACAUUCAAUGAUUUGAAAUAUUGGGCAAAUAUUAUUAAAUUGCAUUGAAAAAUUGCCAUAUAUAUAGUCACUAAAUUUGUUUGGGCACCACCUAGUACAUACAAGAUUAAAAAGGAUUAGAUUAUGCAUUAUAUUAUAUAUAAUAUUUAAACUAUACGCUUACAUAGUACGUAUACCAUUAAAAAAGAAGUUAGAUUAUGCAUUAUAUUUAUGUAGUAAACUAUAGUUUAUUAGAAAUAUAGCAACUUUCUACAACGUUGAUCAAUAUAUGGUCCUAUUUUUUUCAAACUACGAAAUGUGUUAUCACUCCAUAUAAUAUAAAACUCAUACACCAAUAUUAUAUUUUGUAGAAUGUAAAUCAUCCAAUAAGAAAUAUAUGAAAUAAAAACUUGUUUACAAUGCGAUAAUGAUUACAAUACAGUUGGCUACUAUUGUUAGGUUGCCAAAAAAGAUACAGCCAAGAAAGAAUGAGAAGAUAUAAGCAUGAAAGCAAAAAAUACAUUUUUAAAACUCGCAUGAAAAUAAGAGAUAUAUGUAUAAUCCAUCAAAACCAAUUAUAUUAUGCAUAAACAUGAAACUUAAAUGUCCAAUGGCACUAUAUGUAAUUAGUUAAGACAAGCAAGGGUUAUUCAGUAAAUGAUAUGAGAAGAGCUCUCAUGAUGACACAUAAGUAAUGACAAUCUUGAUAAUAACACAUGAGGCAAAUGUUUAUUAUUUAGGAUAUCAAGAAACAUGUAUUCUUAUAACUUUGGUAAAGUAUCUCAAACAAAAUAAUUUGGACGUUUCUUAUUCCUUGGAGAUUGAUGUCUCCUCACAUCUCCAAAAACCAGCAGUUCCAUUUUCUAAUCGUGAUUCCUCAACUUCAAUUAUGAUUAUAAUGGCCGCUCCCUCAUAUUUAUUUGUCUCUCCCUCAUAUUUAUCAUCUCUUUCUGUGAAGAUUAUAAAAUCUUUCCUUCCACGAUUCUAAUGAUCGAUAGACUAAAAGUCUAAAACCCUUGCCAAGAUUCUCUAAAAUCGAAUAAUGACAUUUAAAAUAUAUGCAGGUAUGGUCUCUAUAUUUCUCUUUAAAGCGAUAAGAAUAUCCUUGCUGAGAUUGGGAAUGCGAGCUGUCCAACGUGAUGAUCGGGUCGCGAGCUGUCUGAGAUCAUUUGUUUUGGUGUUUAUGAAGAAUAGAUCCUCCUUAAAUUUUAUGUUCCAGAGGAUCAAGUGUUAUGUUAAUCUUAUGAGGCAGACAUAAUGGAUUUUAGACUAUUGAUUAGCUUAUCUGUAUACCUUAAUCAAUGUAUUAUUUUAUUUCCUUCAGAUGCUGUUAUUCUCCAUCUCAAUUAACCAAAGAAAAAAGCCCAUUGUUCUCGAUAAUGCCGUCUAGCUUCUGUGAAAACAAGCCACUGGCUGGCUUUUAAUGUGACCACAUGAUUUUCUUAUGAUAGAGACAUAUAAGACUGAGAUUCAUGGAGUAAUUCAAAAGCAACGAUUGUUAUAAAGUUCUUUGAUUUUCUUAUUUAUUAUAGUGGUUGAUCUGUAAUGCUUCACAAGUUUCAAAUAGAUAAAACAUAUAGAAUUAAGAAAAGUUAGACGACAUACUGAAGCUAAUAAAAUUAAUGCAUCUUAAGUUUUUUCUUUUUAGUCUUAAAGGUUAGAUCAACGCUAAAUUUGAAGAGAGUAGGCAGAGCUGCAUCAAGAAAGUAACACUCUCCUAACAAAGAAGGCCAUCAUCAUCUUCACUCUCACUUACCAGUGUAAUCCAGGUGAUUUGUAGUAUUCCUCAGAAACUUUUCAUUUAUUCUUCUCCUGACAAAUUACUUUUAAAAAAAAUUAAAUCUUCAACGCAAAGGCCACAAUCCAUGCAAAACGUUAAGCUUCUCUCACAGCAGCCGUUACAGUAAUAACAUUUACAAAAUUGCAGGCCAUUGAAGGAAGGAUACAUUUCAGGUGACCAUUUUGUUUGUGAAAGUUAUAUAAGCUUACUACACCUAAGAUCAUGGCCAUAUUGAAAGUUGAUUCACUUUUGCACCUAUUAUCUUAACUCUGAAGGUAUCCAGAGAGAAUGUCUGAGGGAGUUAGAGUUCAGUUUCUUACCAGAAAUUGCAAUCGAAGAGAUUGUUUGCAGAGACAUUUAGUUUCAUAGGCAAAGGGACCUUGAGAUUACUUCUUUAAAUCUGCAGGUAUUCUUUUAUAAAAAAAUGGGAUGUAAAUUGUAUUAUAAGCAUAUUUGUUUAACAGAGAUACAACUCAAUGAAACAUAUUAACAGCUUCGGAAGAAGAUUGCUACUGGAGCUUCUGUUGUAGAAGAUGGAUUUUCAAUUACAAAUAAUAGGCUAUAUAUAUAUUGAGUCCUACUGAUCUUGGGAUAAAUGGGAACAUAUAUGAUUUAAGUUGAGCAGCUUAUGGUUUUGUAGUGUUUGUAAUUUGCUUUUAAGUUAACAACUUUUAGGUCUCUAAUUUCAAAAUUUGCAUUUACACAACUAUUGACCCCUAGUCGCAUCAGAACCCGUCUGUUUCUUUUUCCUUCUUUCUAUGUUUCAGGGACGACGAGCAAAUUGAUGUUCGAAGAGACACAAACUGACAAAAUUUGAGGACCUACAUAGCACAAGAACAACGUUCGAGCAAGCCCGGUUUCAUCUGGUCAUCACUUUUGUCUUCUAAUGCUACAAGUAUUUCCAAGGUAUUUUAUUUUGAUUCAAUCUGCAAGUCAAUGCCAUCACAUGUAGCGUAAAUUUCCUGAAAUUUAAAUAUCUUCCAGAAUUUGGGUUUCGCGUCGCUGAACAAGAAAGUUGUCAUAAGGAAUUAGUAACUGUAUGACUACUGCAAUUUUAUCUGUACAUAUAAGAUAUAAGAUAAAAUAGAAUGUUCUGCGUGGCCGUUAGUGAGGAGUACAUUUUGGUGUGUGACAAGGUGACUGCCUGUGAAACACCAUCACUAUGAUUUUUUCAGCCGUUUCUCCUUGCCAUUAAUCUAUGAUGAAUUGCAUACCGUAGGGAUUUUGAUUGUUUGUUUGUGUUUUAAUUGGGAAUGGAGUCUAGAUUCUCAUGUCAUUAUCCUCGACGGUUUUUUUUUUUUUACCAGGCGAUGGAUAUUGGAAUUGCGACAUACAAGAAAUUUCAAUGUGCGUAAACUCAAAUAGCCACAUUAUUCCUGAACAAGUAGCCUCUGUAAAACCUGCAACAUGAACUCAAAAAUAUCAUGUGUGGAAGCAAAUUUGGAAGGGUGUGCCGGCUAGAUCAAAAAGAAUCAGAUCAUGAUCGAGUGUUAUAUAUGGCAUGAGAACAUUGCAUAGAAUCCAUAUUAGUUAGAGUUGUAUCAUUACAAGGUAAUCUAAAUCUGGAAUCUAAUCUGCGAUUAGAGAAAGUUACUGAUUUCUGAAUAUAGAAACUUGAGUUUCACAUAAUGAGUUUAAUAGUCUUAAGGGAGGGGUUUUCAAGGUGAUUUCAGGGUGAUCAAAUGAAAUAAAAAUGGUGAUUAAAAUGCAGAUAUUUACUGCAAUAAUAAUAUAAGACUGUGAAAUUUUAUCAGUGGGAAUUAAACUCAGCAUAUAAAAUCAUUUGAAUAUCCAAAAAUUCAGAACCUGUUAUGUUAUAGCAAUUUCAAAAACUCCUUGAUGGCUCAUACGGUGUCCUUAUCUGACUGAAAUUUGGUGAAGUUCUAUGGGAUACUAUAGGCUCAAGAUUCAACGGUGGGAUUGAGUUUCUAACGAUUAAUUUUGAAGUAUUGUGCGUGUCUUUGAGGCAGUUUCAAAAAGUGGUACAAUGAAUCAAGACAAUUGUGCACAACCAACAGUAAAGAUCAUGAUCAUUUUUUCACUGCCGGUUAGACAUUUCUAAAUUUAGAAAGAUAUUAUUUAUUAGCUGAGAACAUAUUAUAUGUUAUAUAGUUUAGGUGACUUAGGUAUGCAAGCCGGUGGUUGUCUGAUCUAAUGUCUUCUGUUUUUAAUGUGAUAAAGAAACCAUUAUCUUAGUUACAUUUCGUGAUUAGUCUGUUUCUUUUUUUUGGAACAACUCUGUUUCUAAUAAUAACUAGAUUUUUCACCCGCACAUCCGUGCGGGUAGAUUUUCAUUUUAUAAAUAUAUAACGGAUACCAUCGCAAAACUUUAAAAGAUAUUUACAUUUUAGUGUUAUACAUUGUGUAAAUUUAUAAUGUUAUUGGUUAUGUUUCUUAUUCGAUAUUAUUAAUGUAUAAUGAUUUGUUUUAUAUAUUUUACUAUAUUAUUAAUUGUUAUUAUAUAUUAAUAUAUUUUCGAGUUUGAUAAAAUAAAUUCAUAGUAUGAAAUAAAAAAAUUGAGAAUCUCCUUCAUUUUUUCUAAUUUUUACAGACUGAAUACAAUACAUUUUAAAAUUUUAUUUAGUUAUACUAUAAAACUAAUAUUUUCUUAGCAUAGUUUAUAUUUCUAUGUUAUUUAUUUUAGUAUAUUGUGGAAUUUUAUAAGUAAAUACAUUAUAAUAAUACUAUAUUAUUAAUUAUGAAAUCAAUCGCUGCAUUAAUUUAAAAAUAUUUUAAAAUUUUAUUAAGAUUUUGUUAGGUGUUUUCAACAUAUUUUGUUAUAAGUAAAAAUAAAAUUUAAAUUUAAAGUUAAAAUUUAUUUUUUAAUAUCUAUAUAAUUUAUAAGAUUUUUUAGAAAUGUUAUAUAUUAAAUAGAUUAACUUAAAUAGUCAAAUAGAUGUAAUUGAUGAAAUAGACCUAGUAUGAAUUUUUAUGGUAUUUCUUUUAAUAAAGAAGAUAUAUAAUAUAAUUAUAAAAUUUGAAAAAUAGCAUACACUUUUAUUUUAUUUUGUUUUAUAAUAAAAUUUUAUUUAAAUUAAUGUAUAAUAGUGUAUAUUAUUAAUUACAAAAUUAAUCAAUGGUAUUAAUUUAAAUAAAAUAUUUUAAAUUUUUAGAAAGAUUUUGUUAGAUUUUUUCUCAACAUUUUGUUAUAACUAAAAAUAAAAUUUAAAUUUACAGUUAAAAUUAAUUUAUUAUUAGUAUCUUUAUAUAUUAAAUAGAUUAAUAUAAAUAAUUAAAUAAAUGUAAUUAAUGAAAUGAACCUAAUAAAGCUAGUAUGACUUUUUUAUGGUAGAUAAAAAUGGUACUUCUCUUUUAAUAGAGAAGAUUUAUAACUAGAAAAGGUUGGAAGGAUUAUAUAUUUAUAUUGGCAGAUACAGAGUAUUUUUUAUGUAAAUAAAAUAAUUAGUAUUCUUAAAAUGAUUUACUUAAUAUUAAUUUAUUUUAUUGAUAUAUGGUAUAAUAUAUAUCUUCAGAGUCCCAUUAAACAAAAAAAAACAAUGUUUGGCAUGUACGAGAAAGAUAGACCAUAGUUCAAGAAAAUACAAACCAACCAUUAUAAAUAGAAUUAUUAUGAAAUUCUAAGAUGUAUUACACUUUUAAUCAUCAUUUUCUCAUAUAGAUAAUUAAUAUACAUCACAAUUUCAAAAGAAAAAGUUCCAGAAAACUUUAAACAAACAUUGUAAAUACGAAAAAAAAAACUCACAUCAAAGCUAUGCGUGGUUUAACAUGGCAGAAGGAAAACCAAAUAAGCAAAAAAAAAAGUCUUCUAUUUAAUUUGUUAGUAGUAAUUUUUAUUGAAAUUUGGUUUAAUAAAUAAUAUAUUAAACUCACAGAAAAGUUGUUAGAUCACAGUGAUCCAAAUUACAGAAUAUUAUUUUAAAGGAAUAAAUAGAUAUGCAAAGUUAUAAAUUUUAAAAUUACGAUUAACACAUGUAAAAAUUUAAAACACAAACAAUUGAAUUCAAUACAAUAAAAUUACAUAAAUCAACCAAUUAAAAAAAUAAAAGUAAAAGAACAAUACAAAAUACAGACUGCGUGCUGUCAAAGAAUCUAGUAUAUAUAAUAGCAAAGCAAAAUUUUGUACCCGCUGAUGUCAUCUUUUUUUUAUAAGAAAAAAAAUAUAUCUAUCUAAGGGUGGAAUUUAUCUUGAGGGUAAAAUCUAAUGGUUACAAUUUUGUUUAAAAUGAAACUAUGGCGUCAUCUAUUCAAUCAUCGUCUUUGAUCCACAAAGUUAUAACUCCUCGCAGGCGACACGACACAACGCUUACAGAAAUCGUAUAACCGUCAUCAUCUCCCUUAAGAGUCGUGUCUUUUCACCAACUUAUUAAUAGAAUUGACUGCAUUAGAUUGCGUUUUUAGGUAGUUCCUUCUUCAGAUUCUCUAAUUGGCUUCUCAUCUCUCUCGACUUUUCUUUUCUGGUAAUCACUUCGGUGGACGUGGGAUCCAUAGACGGUUAAAUCGUUCUCCCAUACAUAUUUUUUUUAAAUGUAUCUUUCUACUCAGAAUCUAAGAAUGGAUUUCUACAUAAUCACCUUUGUCAACCAAUUGUUUGUUUCGGUCUUUCUCCAAUUCAAUAAGGUUUGUUUUCCAUAUCUGGUUUUGUUCUGUUUGAUUUCCAUAUCUGGUUGCUGUAUCUCUGUUUGAUUUCUGCCACUUUUAAUUUUUGUUAAUCUUCCUCCUUUUUUUUUUGAAAUACGUAUUAUAUUCAAAAAAAAUAAAAUACGUAUUUGUCUAGGAACAUAAAUCAAUGUCUAAUAUCUUGUUUGAUGUCCAGGAACAUAAAUCAAUCUUCCUCCUGUACGUGUUUGAUGUCUGUUUGAUGUCUUGUUUGAUUUCUGCCACUUUUAAUUUUUCUUUUCGCGGCGUGCUCCAGGAACAUAAAUCAAUCCAGUUGACGCUAUUUGAAUGUCUCUGUAAUCCAAUCUCUUUUUGGAUGGUUAGGAAUGCGUGGGAUGAGAUGGAGUGAAUUGCGUUUUAUUUUUUGGCCAACGACCAAUCCACUUGAACACUUACACCAGCAAUUAUUGUAGGUUCUAAUACCCAGUUGUAACCAAGAGCAACAGCAAAUUGUAAUAUACCUUUCUUCCGGGGCUUCCUGCAUAAGUUUGUUUUUCAUAUUCUCUUGGAGAUUUCAUUUAUUAGCGUCUGAUCCAGUUGGUCGUCAUUCUCGAAAAGCCGUAAACUAAUAUUCUCGCUCACUUGGGACAGUAAACUAAUCUUCUCUCUCACGUGGGACAAAUCACUAUCAUUCCUGGAAAGAGAAGAGCUAGGGCAGUCAGAUUUCGAGCACAACAAUUUAACAAAUCUUGCUUCAGGACAUUCAAUAGAACUGCAAGCAGUAGAGUCAUAAACUUUAUACUCAAAUUCACGCAAUCUGUUGGAAAUUGUUACAUAUUAGGGAACCCUUCCAGCUUCAUGCAUAGCAGCCACACACUGGAGAAUACCAUAGCUAUAACAUCUGCUGGAACUUCUGUCUUCCCAAACAUCUAAGACUACUCUGCAGUCUCAGCCGCCUUUCGAGUCUUUAAGAAUUUUCCAGUAACAAGAACCUAUAUUUUUUUGCAAAUGAAAAUAAGCACAAACCUAUCUUUUGAUUAUUCCCCAGACGGACAACCAAAUUACUAGUGCUGGCUUCACUUCACAACCUACAUAAGUCCAGUUUGGGGCAAAGCCAAUAAUGCUAAAGAGACUCACAACAUAUCCAUCCAAGUCCCUCCUAGACUUGUGACCAUUGGACCUAUCCUCACUCUUAACUUCUUCCCAGUAGCUGUUGAACUGGAAUGAGUAAAAGACUCGUUUGCAUCAGCAAUAACAUCAACAUCUCCAAGUUCUUUGCUAAUCCAACGAAUGAAACUGUCCAUUUUUCUAAACUUUCUUCACCCAAUGCAUCGUCUAAUAAAUGCUGUUUCAUUGUAGAUAGAUAUGGAGCUUUUUCACUUCAUCAUUUUCUUAUAAGAAUUUUUAUUUACAAUUUUACGCUCGUAUUCAUUUGUAGUUAUGAUCUAAGGGAUAUAAAGUACUCUUGCUUUAAAUGAUUUACGUCAUCAAAAAAAUUAGCUUUUCCAACUCUUCCCAGACAAGUUUCUUCUCAAACAACACAUUACAUGCGUUCUAGAGUAAGUGAGUAACAAACAUACAUUUUCAAAAUCUCAUAUAGGGAACCUUUUAAAACAGAAACUUAUAACAAAUUAGUCUCUCCGACACCCUCAUUUUUCUCUCACUAUUUUUUUUCUGUUUCUCCAACCAAGUAAUUGCUUAAUGUACUGUUUGUUACAAAAUUAUUAUGAUAAAUUCCUUAAUUAUAAUUGGUUAUAAAACUAAAAUACCAAAAUAAAGAAACAAGAUUAUGAACUCUACAACUCUACAGUUCUGCUUCACAUAAGUUACAAUUUAUUUAAAGUCUUUCUGAUUUUUCUGUCUAUUUAGUAAGUUUGUUGAAUAUCUACUUUUGGAGGGAAAAAAAAAAUCUACAACUUUUCAAAUUAUUUUGAUAAGUGUAGAUCAAUUGUUAAGGCAAUUCAAAAAUGGCAAUUCUCUUAAAUAGGUUUUUUUUAAGUUUUUGUCACAAAAAUAGCACUAAAAAAAGGACCAAAAUAGCCCAUUUUUAUUUUGAAAUUUUUAAUAUUUAUUUUUUAUUUUUUAAAAUUUGAAACUUUUUCCCCUAAAACCCCACCCUAGGGUUAACUAAUCUA
This 34889-nucleotide long non-coding RNA is filed under the name Brassica napus (rape). Its description in RNAcentral is "long non-coding RNA (BNAP_LNC009515)". The record is from RNAcentral. Lineage: Eukaryota; Viridiplantae; Streptophyta; Magnoliopsida; Brassicales; Brassicaceae.